This 253-nucleotide ribosomal RNA is filed under the name uncultured bacterium. Its description in RNAcentral is "partial 16S ribosomal RNA". It matches the Rfam family "Bacterial small subunit ribosomal RNA", at positions 524 to 776 of the family's 1533-position model. The record is from RNAcentral.
GACAGAGGGUGCAAACGUUGUUCGGAAUUACUGGGCGUAAAGCGCGUGUAGGCGGCAGGGCAUGUCGGAUGUGAAAUCCCGUGGCUCAACCACGGAAGUGCACCCGAAACUGCCCAGCUUGAGUCUCGGAGAGGAAGGCGGAAUGCUUGGUGUAGAGGUGAAAUUCGUAGAUAUCAAGCGGAACACCGGUGGCGAAGGCGGCCUUCUGGACAGUGACUGACGCUGAGACGCGAAAGCGUGGGGAGCAAACAGG